This 386-nucleotide ribosomal RNA is filed under the name uncultured bacterium. RNAcentral describes it as "bacterial SSU rRNA". It matches the Rfam family "Bacterial small subunit ribosomal RNA", at positions 29 to 417 of the family's 1533-position model. The record is from RNAcentral.
AUUGAACGCUGGCGGAAUGCUUUACACAUGCAAGUCGAGCGGCAGCGCGGGGCAACCUGGCGGCGAGCGGCGAACGGGUGAGUAAUGUAUCGGAACGUACCCAGUCGUGGGGGAUAACUAUCCGAAAGGAUAGCUAAUACCGCAUACGUCCUGAGGGAGAAAGCGGGGGAGUCGCAAGACCUCGCGCGAUUGGAGCGGCCGAUAUCGGAUUAGCUAGUUGGUGAGGUAAAGGCUCACCAAGGCGACGAUCCGUAGCUGGUCUGAGAGGACGACCAGCCACACUGGAACUGAGACACGGUCCAGACUCCUACGGGAGGCAGCAGUGGGGAAUUUUGGACAAUGGGGGCAACCCUGAUCCAGCCAUUCCGCGUGAGUGAAGAAGGCCU